GGCGUGCUGCCGGAAUGGGGCCGCAUCUCUGCCUGCGGGGCUUCGCCUCGGAGACACCUUACAGCACCUUCCAGCGCCUAAAGCGGGGAUACAACGGGGGAGCUGGAGAGGGCGUGUAGUAAGGGCAAGGGGUAAUGGCUUUAAACUGAAAGAAGGGGGAUUUGGAUGAAAUAUUAGGAAGAAAUUCGUUACUGUGAGGGUGGUGAGACACUGGAACAGGUGGCCCAGAGAAGCUGUAGAUGCCCCAUCCCUGGAAGUUUUGGGUGGAGCUCUGAGCAAACUAGUCUGAGUAGAAGAUUUACAUGGCAGGGGGCUUGGAUGUAGGUGAUCUUUAAGAUCCCUUCCAAACCAAACAAUUUUGUGACUCUAUGGUUAUAUGAUUCUGUGACUAGAGAAGGGCAGUGAAACACAAUAGCAGUGACAGUGGGACCCUUGGAAAACGUGCCUUUUCAAAUUCUUUUCUCCUCUGGGUUUUUGUACACACAGCAGAGCAUGUGUCUUCUAGUGAUACGAAUGAAAAAAAAAAUCUACCUGACAAAACCUCACCUUUAAUGUGGAACUUAAAGUUUUAUUUCUUGUUUCAUCAGACAGAAAAUUAAAUAUUUUUUGAACUGUGUUACUGAAUUGGUGAAAUGUGCUCAAAAUUGUACUGCAGGCUCUCUUACAAAAAUGAUUGGAAUAAUUUUGAAAGGCCUCAGCUUGGGUCUCUGAAGCAUCUCCCCCCAGCAUUUCUCACUCAUCUCCCAUACUGGGGGUCUGCUGGUUGCAGCAGAAAAGACACAAACUCUUGGGUUUAUUUGAGGUUCUAUGAUGACCAUCAAAACCAAAGAGAAUGGAGUGCUGCUUGCCUUGGGUUAGUUCCCACAAUUUGACUGUGCCAGUGUGGUCACAGGAGCUGUUGGUGCCAUAGAGAGGGCUCCUGCUGCCCAGGCACGCCACCACCAUGCAAGUCAAUGAGCUGCUGUGCUGGUGAGUGCUGAGCUCUCAUCACCCACUAGUCCAGAGAGCAGGGUCAGGCAUUUCAGGACACAAGGGCUUCUUCUGUUUUUUUUUUCCUAUCCCUGGAAUGUUUCUUUCCACAUUUGUAUGAGGUGGAGGAAAAAAUCAAAUGGCAGCAUUACACACUCCAAGAUCCCAGGGUAUCUUAAGAUCAUGCACUAGAAAUGUAAGAAGUGACUUUACACUGCCCAUCUCUCCAAUUUGGUAUCCAUUUUAUCAUCCAACUUAGUAAUUCUCUUGAGCAAAUCAUCUAUUAGCAAGAAGAAAUAUAUGGGUUUUUUUCUAGUUUGAGAUCCUUCAACUUGGACUAAGUUGUGCAAACAUGUACCAAGAACAGAUUCAACACAAUUAGAUACUUUUAAAGUUAAAGUAAUUUCUCUUAGUCUGUAAUGAAUAGAGAACAACUUUAAAUAUUCUACACUCAAGAGGAAUUUAGUCCUUAGUGAAGCAAAAAGUCUCAGCACACAAAGCCUUGGUUUAUGCCUUUAUACAGAGGUGGAUACUCCCACUGGCAGCAGUUUUCCAGUGUAGCUCUGGUAGAUGAGAGCAGAGGAAGCAUUCAGCAGCCCUUUUCAGCUCAUCUUCCAUUCUGAACUGUUCUCUCCAGGUGGUCCCACCAAACCACAAUCCUUCCUUUUUCAAAGUUCUAUUAUCUGAUGGGUGGAUCUGGUAAAGGGAAUAUGUUCUCCACUUAGAAUGGAAAACAAUUUUCAUUGCUUAUGUCUUAAGUGAUAUUUAUUUAUAGGGUAGGGACAACUCAUCCAAUUGAUUAAUUGUGAAAAUCUGCAACCUUAUUUUAGUUUUUUUAAAUCUUUUAAGACAUUCUCAUUCCUUUUUUUUUUUUGUCUCACACAUAGAGACAACAAAAAAAUGAGUGCUUUUAUUUGAAAAACCUAGAGCAAAACCAAAUGCAAGUUGCUUGGAAAACCAUUCUUCUUAGUUUAAAAUAUUUAAAAUUAGUAUUGAAAAGUGAUAUUUAAAAAAAAAAAAAGUUACCAUAUUUUUAAAUUUAAGGACAUUAGGAAAAUUGGUUUUCAAAACAUAUUAAGAAGUUGAGGUGAAUCCUAAAGGGAAAUCUAUAAUGUUAGUAGUAGAGCUUAUUGAGCUUAUACACUUUUUCUGACAUUAUUUACCUUUUUCUCCUCCUGGCCUGAGGCUUCUGGAAAGGCUGAAGGCAGCUGAUUUCAGAUAAUUUCUGUGUGCAUAGAGGGAAGUCUUAAUUACUGGAUUAAACUGCUCAAAGCACUAAAAUAAUCUUCAGCACUGAGGAAGCUGAAAUAUUAUAUACAGAUUUAGAGUUCUAGAUUUCUGUCAUGUCAUGACCAUUUUGAGAUUUUGGCUCAAAAAUUGUAGGAGUCAUCUCUCUACUACACAAAAUCUACUUUUCUCUUUUAUUUGAACAACCUUGUCUUACAGAAGAGUGCCGAACACCAGCUUCAUGGAAGCAUCUGUUUGGAACUGGAUAGAAUACUUCUAGAACUGAAUGUUGAAACCUCAUCCUACCUGAAAUAUCACUGGCUGCCUCAUACAUAUCUCAUGCCAUCCUGCCUCUGUAUCAAUAAGGAAAAACCUCAACUCCUCCUGCCAGAAAACCUAGCAUGGGAGAAAUAACAGCUAGGCUGAAUUGGAAAGGCUAGAACGCUGUCCUGUGGUGGGUGGGCUCUUCAUCCUUCUGAAGUUAUAGUGUUUUUAUUUAAAACCUGAAUUGGAUUUCUAGGCAUGUAUGGUACAUGCCAAUUUAAAAUUAUUGAAGUUCUUCAUAGUGUUAAGAGUGCUUCAGUUUGAAAGAGUGAGGCUUUCCUGUAAAUGCCAAGUAAAUUGCCCUGCAAGUCCAGAAUCUUUGAAUUGAAGUGCAUACGAAAGAUGUUGCCGUGUUCUAAUAAUUUUACAGCUCUCUCUGAUUCAUAUGCCUAGAACCCCAAUCAUUUCCAAAUUGAAGAGCUCUUAUUAUUUUGAAGUCCUAUGUGCAGUAUAAAAUGAUUUAAGAUUAUUCUGCAGCUUUUCAUUUGUAUUUUGUAAAAAUGAAACUUUUUUUCUUCUUUUUUAAAGACCAGCUCUUUCCUCUGCAAGCUGGGAGACAUUAUGAGCUAAUUCAAACAUUUCAUGUUUAAAAUGGAAAUUGAACCAAAUUCUCUAAAUAGCAGUGAUGAUGGCUGGGAGAAAAAGAAGGAAAAAAAUAUCCCUGUCUGAAAAGCCGAGAAAAUACAAAAGUAUUGUUUCUUUUUGGACAUCAUGCCUCUUUUAGAGUUAAAACUCUCGCUUUCAAGUAAUAGUGACUGGGAAGUGCUUUCAAAAUCCUGAGGUACUUCUGUUUUCUGUAACCCUGUCAUCCUGAAGAAAGGUGAAGUGGGUGAAUAUCAGACAGCUCAUUAUAGAGACAUGCAUGCUGCUUUCCCAAAGUAGGAUGACAGAACAAGUCAUGGUGGAUAGGAGUCAUGGAUGUUAAAGGAGAAAUUAACCAGGCUGUUGUGAAAGAUCUGAUACCAGCUUUGGUCAAAGGGGACGAGUGUCAUCCUGAGAGUGCUCCUCUCUGGGACAGGAAACCGCUGGAGCGAAGCCCUGAGAACAUGCCGCGACACUUCAUAUUCAAUCCACAGACCUAUAAAGAGAUGAAAAAUGAGCCUUGUCCAAAGCUCUUACCUCAGCACCCAGUGGCAAAAAUAAAAUGUGAGCUCGGGACCAGGUCUCUUUGAAGCUGAUUUUUUCUAUUUUUUUUUUAAACACUCCAACAGGCCUCUGGUGGUUGCAGGUAUUGAUCGUCAGAAAGUAAUCUGUUCGGGUUUGGGGGCAUGCCAGACCGAAUCCUGGAGUAUGUUCCUUCCUCUCCAAGGACACGUUGAGCUUUUUACUGUCCACACUGGCAUGCUUGUCAGCUCUCUGGCUGCUUUGCCUUUACUGCUUUCCCUGUUUGUGGAAAGCAUACAAUUAAACCUCCCUUAUACAAAUAUUUUACAUUGCUACUCUUGAAUUUUCUGCCAGUGCUGAAGGUUUUUUUAGCCCAUUUUUUAACCCUCAUUUUUCUUCUAUAAUCAUUAUUUGAUUCCCUCUGGCUGCCUGCUACUUAUUUGUAGUAGUACCAUUCAUCCAUUGAGACUUUUCCAUCUGUCACACAGUUUUGCUUUCUCUCCCCAGAAGCUUUCUUCUCCUACUGUGCCAUGCUUGAUUUUUGUGGUUUAGUUGCAUGUUUGUAUGCUCUUUUUAGUAUUUUAAAAAAUGCUUCAGUAUUCAGAAAAAAUACAAGAAGAGAAAAAAACCCCCAACAUAGUAAAGAGCAGCUGAAAUCCAACACUGCACAGAAACAGGAUGAGGAGACUGAGAUUCCUGGUGAAUUAAGGAAUCAACACAUAUAGCCAGGGCAGAACUAGUGACCAGACCUUGGUCUCUGAAUUGUUUUCAUUGCCUUCAAAAUCUUUCCAGUUUUGUGCUAGAUAAAUAGGUGAUGUCAGGAAAUGUUGCAUUCCUUCUGCUGUACUGACUCCCUUUGGUGUAUUGAUUAUAAAGACUAUCUGAGGAAAACCAAACCUACUGAGAUACAAUCCUGUGAUUACUUUAAGAAAAAAAUGUUUUAAAGUGUCAAACAGUCCCAUACUGAAACAAGAUCAUGGUCAUAUCUUACAUUUAAAAUUAAAUGAGAAAUUUUUGUUUGCAGAGGUUAGAUAUCAAAGAAAGGCAGCACUUGUUAGUGUUUCCCAGGUGAAAUGCAGGAAGGGCUAAAGCCAGCAGCAUAACCCCUCAGAAUUACUGUUUUUUCUCUGUGUAUGUUCAACCCCUAUUAAAACAAAUCUUCAUUUUUGAUGUGAGCAAGAAUAGUAAAUUUAACAGCAGCUCUACAGAUCACUUUUGAUUGAAUGAAAUCUCAAAUCUUUAGUUUUGGAGAGCUCACAAAAUUACCUGCUUCCAAUAAUACAUUUUGAAUAUCUCCUUAUUAAUUUUCACUUCUUUUCCUCUUACGCAUCUCAUCGUAUUGUCUUAUGUUCUUGUUUCAAAAGUCCCUGCAAGUUUGUCAUUAUUACUAGGAUUAGUAAAAACUAUGUGUGGUGUUUUCAAAAAUCUUUUUUUCAGUAUAAAUGCUUUCAUUGUUCAUAAAAUUGCUUCUCUGGCUGUAUAGAAAGUGCUGGUAGUCUCCAAGCAAACGCAAAAGCUGUGAGUGUAUCCUUGUGUGAAUGGCAAUCCUCAGAAAGUUUCCUUUGCUACCAGCUACUUCACAGUUCUGAGAAUGAAGUAGGUGGAAAAAAAAAUCAGAAUCUUUAGUAUGUACUUGUAUCGGCAAAUGUCUGAAAAUGUAGGUAUUUCACAAAAAUCCUAUUUAUUAAGUGUUAUCAUGUGAAAGUAAGGGUCAUUCAGACCCAGCUUUUACUUUACCUGAACCUUAAGGUGCUUUGCAAAGGAAAAGAAAUGGUUCCUUUUCUGGAAUAAGUUAUGAAAAUAAAAUUUAAGAAAAUGGGUGAGAAGGAAAAAGAGGACAGAAUGUGAGAGAGACAAACAGUUCCUGAAGUCCCUUCUGACCAUUGAAAACUUUUCUGUGUUUCUUCUCAAGAAUAAAUUAUUAAAAAUAAUAAGGGUGAAAGUGGUUUUUUUGCAUUUGUGUGUGUAAUCACAAAUUUCGUGGUCCCACUGCAUGAUCAGUGUACACCUGUAUCAUUCAAGUCUGUACUGCCUGCUCUGGAAGACCCUCAGUGGGUGAAAUUUCACUGCUGCACAGGGAAGCUAGUCCAGAGCUUCACAUCAGAAACUUAAGUAUAUUUUUUUUUUUUCCCAGAAUGGAUUAAGCAAAUAUAUAAUUGUCUUCUACACUGUAGUGAUUGUUCAAAUGCCUCCUUCCAUUUUCUUUGGUUUAAGGUUAAACAGGUGCAGUUCCUUUGGGAUUUCCUCACAGGCCUGAUGAUUUACAUUUGACUCCUGCUGAUCCACUUCUUUCCAACAUGAGGGCUCAGAGGAACUUGCAAACCUGCAUAUGACACUUCCUGGGCUGCACAGAUAGAUUAUUUCAUAUGCCUUGCAGAUGUUGGUAGGUUUUUUUAAUGUAGCCUCAUCACAUUCUUUGAGUCUUUUGAGGUUAUUUAAUUUUUGAGGUUAUUUAAUAAUUUUGAGGUUAUUAAAUUUCUAUUCAUUUGUUUGUGUAUAUUGCAAAAUGAAGUAAAUUUGGGUGGCAGUAUGAUGAAAGAAGUAAGGCAGGGACCUUGCAGCUAUGAAACCCUAAACCAACCCAGCUGGUGGAUUGAAUAAACCAAACAAAUGGCCUGCAUGAUCUUCUGAGUUAAUUUUGGAUAGUCCUGUGAGGAGCUGGGGGUUGGAUUCUUCUUGUCCCUUCCAAGUGUUCUGUGGACACAAGGGGAUGCUAACACCAGUGGGAAUCUUUACAUGUGUAGGAACACAUUCUCAUAAACUCAGAGCCAGGAGCUUGAUGUGACAGGCUUGCUAUUGGCCCUGUUCUGAAAGUGUUUUAUUCCCAUAUGUGUAAACCUAAUGAAAUAGAGAGGACAAAGAAGAGAGGGACUGUUGCUUAGCCUAGGGAAUCUGAGAGCACAUGUAGAAGCAAUUUCACUAUGCAGUAGGCUUCUAUAGUCUUGGCAAGAAUAGAAAAAAAUAAUACUGCACCCAAAUAGCUGAACAAUUUUUUUUUUAAUACAACAUUUAACACUACUAAACCCACACCAGUGUUGAAAACUGACCCAAGUGAUGAAAGUAGUCUUCAAGAAGUCUGGACACAAGAAAGACUGUAUGUAUCUUCAAGUGUAUGAUCAAGUAGGCUGUUUUUCAUGUAAGGCAGUUAUUUCUAAGUUACUAUUUUUCAGUAGGAUUGUGUACAAUCUUUUGUGUACAGAACUAAUCUGAAAAUCUAGUUCUGUCUUUGUGGGAAAUACUUUUUUCUUUUUCUUUUACAAUGAACUGGAGGGGCUUUACCCAUUAACUGAGGAUUUUCUUUUAAAAGCUACUGCUUUUUUCCCCUUCCUUCCUGCUUCAUGCCAUCACUUUAAGAUUUCAGAGUCAUAGACCAGAGUGCUUGUGUUAAAUGAAUAUAUUUGACAGGAGUUAAGUCUUUUGGGCAUUGCAAUAGGUUUUCCUCAUCUUGGCAUGUGAAGACUGAGAGUGUUCUUUGACACCAGCAGCAGAGGAUGUGAGCACAGCAACUUUCAGGGCAUCAGAAGUGUCAGCAUAAGGAAAAAUCAGCAAAAGUAGACAGUGUUGAGGUAAUUUUCCUGCACUGUACCAUGAAUUUAGCCAACUGGUGCUCCUGUGAAUUCUGGGCUGACAGAGUUUCCUUCUUUGUUGCUAAAUAUCACAUAAAGUGUUCUGUCAGCAUCAAGACUUGUGCACUCCCCUUAUGUAGUAAAAUAAAAAUAUAAUCCUUAUGCCCAUGUUUGAAAUUUGAGCAUAAGUUAAAGAAAAAAAAAAAAGAAUAAACCUUUCCAACAGGCCAAAACUGCAUUUUGGAGGUUCAUUUUUCAGAACAUCAUGUAGUCAAUGCUGUCGAGAAGAGCUGAAGGCAAAAGAUAUGUAGGGCACAAGUACUAAAAAUUGAAAAUCUUACUCCCAUUAAAAUGCAUGGGAUUUCUGCCAGUUGCCAUAGACAUCAGUGGCAGCAACAUCCUGCUAUUUUUUUUCUGUUUUUACUUUCUGCUUUCCUCAUAUUUUUAUUUAUUUUGUAAUCCUGAGAAAACGAUAUAAAACACACAUUGCUGGAAUGGUUUCCAGGGUGUAUAUCAGAGAUUUACUAAUAUUAUUAGGAUUAAAACUAUUUAGUUAUGUUCUAAAUUUCAUAGUGAUGAUUAGAACCUAUGGUCAGGAGGAAUUAUAGGAGGAGUUACAGGUUAGAGACAUCUGAUCUCAUGAGUACUGAUAAAUAUGGUUAUGGGUUUUGCUGCACCCAGCUGGGAUUUAGCUAAGGUGCUUAAGGGUAAAAGUGAAAGGCUGGGUUCUCUUUCUGUGUGGCACAAACAUCAGAUGAGAAAGUGAAAGCUCUGAAUCACCAGAGAGCUUUCAAUUGUAGCAUGAUUUUAAAAAGGAAGAUUUCUGCACCUGAAGAGUUUUGCAUAUAUGCAUUACUGACAAAGUAUGACUGCACAUUUGUUUGCACAGUAUAAUUUCUUGUUUUUUCUUGUUCUAUUUUAAAUUUCUAACCUCUUUAGUAGUAGUAUUUUGCAUGUAAUCUGGAUCUAAUAUCAUUGCUUUAAUAUGUGCCAUAACCUUGAAAUGAAGUAAUCCACUGUAAAAAAGGGCUGCAAAAGUUGGUCUUUGAAGGAAUUUCCUCUCUUUUCAAUCUCCCAUAAAUGUCUCCAAGUCAGAAUUACUGCUUCUUCUUUUCCUGCUUCAGCAGCUGAGAUUCUUAGAGAGGUUGUCCUUCAUCCUCCAUCCCAGCCACUACCUGUGGGAUGGAUUGAUCCCCAGAAGUUUCCUCUCUGUCAGGGCUUGUCACUGCCACUUGCCAAGAGCAAAAUGUGUGUUCUGGGCUUAGGAAUCCAGAUAUUGGCAAUAAGCUGGCUGUCUUCCUUGGGUACUUCUGAGUGGCUAUUUCUAUAAAUAUAUCUCCAUUUCUUUAGGACUUCACUGAGGAAAAGUAUUGACUGAAAAGUAUCAAGAAACACAAAGACCUUGACUGUACUCAAAGCAGUAAAUGUUCAGAGUUGGGAAUAACUUUAUCCAGUAUGGAAAGAAGCCUCUUAGUGUAUUUUUCUCAGGUGUCUGACAAUUGCCUAGAUAUCAAUCUUUGACACAUGUAUUUAUCAAAAUGAAGAAUGUCUUCCUAUAACAAAAGAGGGAUCCUGAGUUUCCCCUUUCACUCCUCUUUUUGUCAGUGCUGUUCUGCAACUCUCAUACAAAUGGAUUCAUUUAAACUCAAAGUAUUAAAUAGGUUCUUUCCCUUUAGGUGUAAAUAUUUUUAUGUUUAAAAAAGGUUUUAAAAAUAUCUUCUUGUCCUUUUGACUUCUAAUAAAAAUGUCAUGAUUUUUUCUCAGCAUUUUUAGUUAAAAACACGAAGUCAAAUAGAUUUUCUGUGAAUUAAGAAAAAACAAGAAACCUAGAUAAUGUAUUCCUGAAAAUCUAAUUUCCUAAAAGAACAAUAUUUUUCUAUACCUCAUAAAUAUUAUACAGGAUCAACCCUUGAAAUAAAUAAAAUGUAAUUACUAUUGAUGCUUUAUAUGAUAUUCAGCAUCUUUAAAUUAUAAUCCAGGAUUAAAUCUUAGUAUAAACUGAAGUAGUCUGAGUAAUUUCACCUUAAUUAGUGUGCCUUGUUUGUGUAAAAAACUAUGCUGAUUUUUUUAAACAAAGUUAAAUACAUGGAGUAAAACAAGCUGGAAGCAAACAAGUUUAAGGAUAAUUAACAGAGCCCUUCACACAGCCUCUCAAUUUUUUUUUUUUUGUAUGGAAAGGUCAGCAGAGAUGACUGCAGAGAUCAGUUUGGAAGGGUAGGUUACUGUAGAAUGUGUGGAAAACCACAAACCAUAUUGCAGUCUUUGUCAUAGCAAAUGUUGGUACCACUUCUAGCAAAAUAAAAGGAUACCUUAAGCUUCUGUGCUUGCAGUGUAAUCAGUUUUGAGGCAGCAUUUUCAGUUUAGGGCAAGAAAUUACUCAACCAUGUCCCCCUCCAACCUCCACCCCCAUCCCCCUCCCCCCCCCUUUUAUUUUUUUUUGUCACUGAUAAAACUGUAACUAGGUUUUCUGAGAAAGUACAUCAUCCAGUGCUUCCCCACGUCUUUCCUUGAACUACUUCUUUUGUCUGUCUCCAUUACACCCGUGUGCAGUGACACAAUGUUUCUGCACAGUGGGAGCUUGCAAUCUCUGAAGAGGCUUUCCAGCAUUGCUUUUUAGACUGAAAUCAUUACAAUCUUCAAUAGGUACUUGGAUUUGAAAAACUAGCACAUUAUUAUUCUCUGGACUGUCUGGAUGUAAAAAGAGGCUAUUUUCUUGCUUCCUUUUAUUUAUUUAUGUCCCUGGGUACACAUUGCCCUUACACCUAACUUUAGUUUGUUUGGAUCUCAAUCGGAGCUGCAAUUCAGAUGUCUUGUGCUGUUUGUGUUUUUCUUUCAUGUAAGGUUUUACAUUAUAAAUGAGAACUCUGUCAGAGAGAUUUAUAUUUUGGUUCUACUUAAUGCUUUCGAGUUGCACAUCCUUUUUUGUAUGUGUAAUUAUCAUAGUUAUUAUUAUCACUAACACGGUGCAGCAUAUUGUACGGUAUGUUACAAUAAAUGUUAUGAUGUGUAGCGUAGCAGAUGUUUGUUAAUACGUCUAUGAUUUUUAAAUGCCACCAAGUUGCAUAGCUUCAGAGGACCUUCAAGUUAUCUCAUCAGAUAUCCUCUAAACCACAGCUGCAUCUGUCGUACCAGUAAAACAUUACCCUGAGCCCAGGGACUUUGUUUAGGUUAAUUUGUCAUGGGACACAACAGUUGUUUCCUCUAGCAAGAGGAGGAGAGAUCAGGAUUCUAGCAGAACCUGAGGACUGAGCUGUGAGUGGAAAUGGAUUGCCCAGGUGAUUCUG
Passer domesticus (house sparrow) is the source of this 10474-nucleotide RNA transcript. RefSeq lists it as uncharacterized. The transcript has 6 exons. The record is from RefSeq and is a predicted model, not a curated record. NCBI's taxonomy places the organism in Eukaryota, Metazoa, Chordata, Aves, Passeriformes, Passeridae.